CGGCCUUUGGUGCAGCUGUAAGUCGGAUGGAAUCCACCUUCCUGACGUCAGACCCACCCACUGGAACACUGCUCCUCUGACUGGGGCUUCCCUGAGUGGAAACUACAUGUCAUACUUCAAAAACAACUUCUGAAGGAGAAAAAAGUCUUUGCUUCAGUUUCUGCUCUCCAGAGGUAACCCAAAGAGGUAAGGAACCCAGUAAGAAAGACAGAGAGAAGUAUGGACAAAAAACAGAUCCUAAACCUGUUUUGUUUUAUUUUUGGUAGUAGUUGUUUAUUUUUGAAAACAUUCAAACCACCUGUAUUGGUGGCUAUUAUUAUGAAAUAAAUAAACUGAGAAACAACA
This 345-nucleotide long non-coding RNA is filed under the name Pongo abelii (Sumatran orangutan). RNAcentral's name for it is "lincRNA". The record is from RNAcentral. Lineage: Eukaryota; Metazoa; Chordata; Mammalia; Primates; Hominidae.